GUCUACCAACCUGGACACACUUGAUGUCCUCUGAUCUCAGAAGCUAAGCAAGGUCAGGCCUGGUUAAUAUUUGGAUGGGAGAUACCAAUUUCAAAAUAUUCAACAAGACA
Molecule: ribosomal RNA, 110 nt
Filed under: Erinaceus europaeus (western European hedgehog)
Lineage: Eukaryota; Metazoa; Chordata; Mammalia; Eulipotyphla; Erinaceidae
Source: RNAcentral